GCUUGGAUAGCUCAGUUGGUAGAGCACUUGCCCGCGCAAGGCAAAGGUCCCGAGUUCGAGUCUCGGUCCGGCACGCA
Molecule: transfer RNA, 77 nt
Filed under: Schistocerca americana (American grasshopper)
Lineage: Eukaryota; Metazoa; Arthropoda; Insecta; Orthoptera; Acrididae
Description: tRNA-Ala
Rfam family: tRNA
About the family: Transfer RNA (tRNA) molecules are approximately 80 nucleotides in length. Their secondary structure includes four short double-helical elements and three loops (D, anti-codon, and T loops).
Source: RNAcentral